Molecule: ribosomal RNA, 253 nt
Filed under: uncultured bacterium
Lineage: Bacteria
Description: partial 16S ribosomal RNA
Rfam family: Bacterial small subunit ribosomal RNA
Source: RNAcentral
UACAGAGGGUGCAAGCGUUAAUCGGAAUUACUGGGCGUAAAGCGCACGUAGGUGGCUUUUUAAGUUGGAUGUGAAAGCCCUGGGCUCAACCUAGGAAUUGCAUUCAAUACUGGGAAGCUAGAGUAUGAUAGAGGAUAGUGGAAUUUCCGGUGUAGCGGUGAAAUGCGUAGAUAUCGGAAGGAACAUCAGUGGCGAAGGCGACUAUCUGGAUUAAUACUGACACUGAGGAGCGAAAGCGUGGGGAGCAAACAGG